Molecule: ribosomal RNA, 253 nt
Filed under: uncultured bacterium
Lineage: Bacteria
Description: partial 16S ribosomal RNA
Rfam family: Bacterial small subunit ribosomal RNA
Source: RNAcentral
GACAGAGGGUGCAAACGUUGCUCGGAAUUACUGGGCGUAAAGGGCGCGUAGGCGGCACAGCAAGUCGGGAGUGAAAGCCCGGGGCUCAACCCCGGAACUGCUUUCGAAACUGCUGAGCUAGAGUACAGAAGGGGCAACCGGAAUUCCCAGUGUAGCGGUGAAAUGCGUAGAUAUUGGGAAGAACACCUGAGGCGAAGGCGGGUUGCUGGGCUGAUACUGACGCUGAGGCGCGAAAGCCAGGGGAGCAAACGGG